UCUCUCUUGUAACAUCUCUCAAUGUUCUUAACUCCUGUUAUGUUACCACCUGGUUUUUAAUUUUCAUAUUGCUGAGGAGAUGGUACAUUCUUACUACUCCAAAAUGGUGUCAAUGCAAGGAGCUCACACAACAGAAGGAGUGGUUCAUGAAGCAACACAAAACUCUUGUAUAAAGACACUCCUUUUCUUCCAGAGAUUGUUGAGAAGAAUAAUCCACAUUAUGAUUGUGACCUAUUAACUGAAGUAAUAGCUAGUUUGUCUGAAAAUAUAAAAACUCCAUCGCACUCUAAUGAAGUCAGUCAGAUGUCUCCCAGACCAUGGCAGUGAAAUCUCCCAGGGUUCUUUCUCUGUCAGCUCCUAGCACUGAACUUUCCAGGACCCAAUUGUAGGAUUUUCUAAAUAAUGGGCUUCCAUCUGGGGAGCCCGCUUGUACCAAUGAUCAGCUGGAACCUUUAAUUUGGGGGUCUUCAGGCUUACAAGUGAAGGUAUUCAAUUCAAUCCCGUUUAUCACGGCAGCUUGCAAGUGUACAUCUAAGUGAGUGACAGAGAUUUGUACAACUUGUUGACUUUGAAUUGAAAGUGAUGUGAAAGUCCAAAUGCUAUGACAAUGUAACCAGUUUGUUACCUCGAAGUCCUUAGAGAUGGACAGCUCAGUGCUGCUGGUGUGUUUUGCUCUGAAGCUCAAUAACUUUAAUUUUAUUUCAACACUAAAUGACUCAGGCAAAUUAUAUAUUUUGCAUCCAGUCCACAUGAUUGAUUACUGGUGGGAAUUUAGAUUCUGGCAAGCUUUCAUCAGGCACUGGCUAUUCGAUCCAAAUUAUUUAGCAGCUUUAAAAAACUCCUUUUAUGUUCCAAAGAAUGAAUCAAAACAAACACUGCCAAAGUGUGAUUGGGUGUUCACCUCUCAUCAGCCCUGAAGGAGCUAAGAUGGUGCAGUUAGGGGCAAUUAACCUUAUAGGCUGUAUCUGGGGGAGAGUCUGGUUUGACUGAAAAUGCCUAAUGGCUGUUAAAAACUAACUGUGGAAGAAACUGGAUAAGGUAUAAAGCCAGGAAGUUUGCUGCAGAAAGGGGCUGCAGUGUAGAAGCUGGCAGCCUUUCUCUGGGCUUAGAGAGGGAAAAGGAGGAAACCCAGGAGGAGGGAAGAGAAGCCCUGGAAUCCUGUCUCAAGAGAAUGGUUUACCCAGAAGCAUGGAGGAGAGAGCCUGUGGGAGGCAGAGUAGGGAGCAAUGAGGUUAGAGAUCGUGCUGCUGAUUGUAGGGUACCUAGGCUGUAACCUGGAAUAGUGGGUGGGCCUGGGUUCCCCUACCAGGCACUGGGGAAGAGGUACAAGAUUGUGGGAGAUGCCAAUUGGACAUUUGGUUGACAGGGAUUUUGAUACCCCAGGAGGAGUAUACUAUGUUUGACUUGGAAAGCUGAGUCACAAAGAGAGAGCACCCCGAGUCCUAGAGAGUGAGAGGUGCUAUAGGGUGAACAAGCAUCUGAAAGAGGCACUAGACUAGACAAGAGCUGAUCCCCAGACCCAGUCACAACGGGGUCUCCCCAGUACUGUGUGUACUGCAUUAAAAAAUGACAACAGAAUGAAGAGGUUCCCUACUUGGAAUGGGAAUUCUGUGGAAAAUCUACAUGCAGUAGGCUUAUAACUUUUAACAAAACUAUUUUACAAAA
This is a long non-coding RNA of Dermochelys coriacea (leatherback sea turtle), 1665 nucleotides long. RefSeq lists it as uncharacterized. The record is from RefSeq and is a predicted model, not a curated record. Lineage: Eukaryota; Metazoa; Chordata; Testudines; Dermochelyidae. The transcript is spliced from 4 exons.